UGGGGAAUAUUGCGCAAUGGGCGAAAGCCUGACGCAGCGACGCUGCGUGAGGGAUGAAGGCUUUCGGAUCGUAAACCUCUGUCAGAAGGGAAGAAACCGCACUGUGCUAAUCAGCAGUGCCUUGACGGUACCUUCAAAGGAAGCACCGGCUAACUCCGUGCCAGCAGCCGCGGUAAUACGGAGGGUGCAAGCGUUAAUCGGAAUUACUGGGCGUAAAGCGCACGUAGGCUGCUUUGUAAGUCAGGGGUGAAAUCCCACGGCUCAACCGUGGAACUGCCUUUGAUACUGCUUAGCUUGAAUCCGGGAGAGGGUGGCGGAAGUCCAGGUGUAGGAGUGAAAUCCGUAGAUAUCUGGAGGAACAUCAGUGGCGAAGGCGGCCACCUGGACCGGUAUUGACGCUGAGGUGCGAAAGCGUGGGGAGCAAACAGG
Molecule: ribosomal RNA, 429 nt
Filed under: Fusobacteriota bacterium
Lineage: Bacteria; Fusobacteriati; Fusobacteriota
Description: Fusobacteria bacterium partial 16S ribosomal RNA
Rfam family: Bacterial small subunit ribosomal RNA
Source: RNAcentral